AACGCGAAGAACCUUACCAGGGUUUGACAUCCUGUGCCACACUCAGAGAUGGGUGGUCCCCGCAAGGGGCGCAGAGACAGGUGCUGCAUGGCUGUCGUCAGCUCGUGUCGUGAGAUGUUGGGUUAAGUCCCGCAACGAGCGCAACCCUCGCCUUUAGUUGCCAUCAUUAAGUUGGGCACUCUAGAGGGACCGCCGGCGACAAGCCGGAGGAAGGUGGGGAUGACGUCAAGUCCUCAUGGCCCUUACACCCUGGGCUACACACGUGCUACAAUGGCGGUAACAAUGGGCAGCUACCUCGCGAGAGGAUGCUAAUCUCAAAAAACCGUCCCAGUUCAGAUUGCACUCUGCAACUCGGGUGCAUGAAGGUGGAAUCGCUAGUAAUCGCAGAACAGCAGGCUGCGGUGAAUACGUUCCCGGGCCUUGUACACACCGGAGUA
RNAcentral lists this ribosomal RNA (437 nucleotides) under uncultured bacterium. Its description in RNAcentral is "bacterial SSU rRNA". It matches the Rfam family "Bacterial small subunit ribosomal RNA", at positions 958 to 1398 of the family's 1533-position model. The record is from RNAcentral.